UUUUUUUUCUUUUUGCCUGAAGUAGAGGGGUGGAUUUAAGUAAAAGCGCACCGUUGGAUAUUGGAGGGACUUAGGUAGGGUGAAAAUAGCACUGUGACAUCUGCAUGCUAAGACGGAUGCUGCAGGGUGAGCAGGCAAGGCAGGCGAAUUAACCCAGAUGAAAAUCAUGAUUGUCACAACCAAAGGCAUGCUGAAGAAGAUGGUCAGAUUCAAGACAUUUAUUGAAGAUAUCCACUAGGAUCACUGAUGAUCGGAUGUGGGGCAGGGAAACUCAUGAGUGAACCCCUGGCCUUCCGGCUUGAGCAACUGGGUGUCUGGUCAUUAGAACCGAUGCUGAGAAUGGCAAUGGCAAGAGUGAGUUGGAGCAGAACUGCAGCAUUCCAUUUUAAAAGAGUAUGUCUCCGAAGCUCGUGAGAAAUCCAAUGGAAAUAGCACACAGACAGUUGGAAAAGUAAGACUAAAGCCCAAAAGAAGGUUCUGGUUUAGAGAGCUAUUAACAGUCAUUAUAAGAUGGCAUUUAUAUUAUGAAAAUGGACUAGGGCCUAGGAAAAGGAAGAGAGAGAAAGCAGCCCAAUUCUUAGUCUCUAGGAAUCUCAAAACUAGAUUGAGUGAAAGGGCUCCUCCAAUGAGGAGAAAGGAAAGGCAGCCCAGAAAGGAAAGAGCGACCGGGAGGGGGCGCUAAGAGAAUGGAGACAGCUGCUCCCUGGAGGGGUAUCCCUGAAGAACCAAGGAACAAAAAGGUCAGUUUUACCUCAAUCAGUCUGUUAAGUAUUUUAAGCCUUUUGAAGGCACCAGGAGAUUGAAUGCUGAAUUUUGAGGUCAGGACUGGGCCUUUGAUGGCAUGGCAAUAAAAGGAAUAUAUUUAAAUGCCGUAUAGGGAUUCCUGAGUGUCUGCAGAGCAUCUCUUCCCCACAGGCAGGGGCUCUCUGAGCCAGGAAGCCGCUAAUGAUCCCACUUCCAUGUGCCUCAAUACAUUCGCAGUCCCCUUAGUUCCAAACCCCAGGGGCACUUCAUGGGCAUGGGUCCAUUGCAGGAAUCUGUGGACUCCUCUAAAAGAAUGUAGAUUCCUUGAGGGGAUAAACAACGCCUUACUCAACUUCUCUUUCUGUGCAUCACCCAAUACAGUUUCCAGCUCAGAGUAAGCUCUCAAUUCGUGUGUUUCAGUUGUGGUCAUAGAGAGUUAAAAAAAAAACAAAAACAAAAACAAGCAAACAUGUUUCUGAUAACUUCUUACCAUGAUCGGUAUAUUAUAAAAGAUGGGAGAACCUAGCUCAAAAAUUAGUAAGCUCACAAUUGAAUUAAUCUAUAAACACAUUCCUUUUCUAAUUUAAGAGAAGAUGCUCCCACCGGCUAAAAAAUAAAAAUAAAAGGUGUUAGUUACACAAGGGACAGGGCUAUCUGAUAAUAUAUUGGUGGUUGGAUAGGAGGAAAUCUCAAAGCUAAGCUCUGUACUUCUUCCAAAUUGAAAGAGCAUUAAGCAGCAUAGGUCAGAAAGCAGAACCCUUAGUGUUUGCAGAAAAUGUACUUUAAAAUAAUUUUCUCUGGGGCUCUAAAUGGUAAUGCUUGCUCGUGACACAAAAAUCUGGAAAUUGGGAGAGGGCUGUCUCUAGAUAAUGCUACUUUUGUGUCUCCUUACAGAGUAACUAACCAGAGCCUUUCAUUCUGAGCAUAUCACCCAGUUUUAUCCUCUUAAAAGUAUCAAAGUCGUCUUGGGAUUUAUAGGAUGGGUUUAUGCAAAAUAAAUGAGGCUGGAGGUAAGAGGGAGAUUUAGAGAGACGUCUGGAAAGGACUAAGAAAAGGUGAACAGGCAAGUGAGACAAGCCUAUCUUAACAGUCUCCAAUAAAGUAGGAUUCAACAUCCUGUCCAACUAGAAAGGAAAGUCAGGGGCACCUGAGAAAUGACCAAGAGGUGACCUCAGUUACUGACUGUAGAUCUCAUACCUCAUGGUGUUUUCUGAGCAUAGUCACAUGCAUCCCUUAACCCAUCACUUUUCAAAGACCCAUAACUGGAGUCCUCACUUUCUCCAGCCAGAACAAGACAACCUUCCUUUACUGUGGUUCCCCCAGGUCCUAACAGUGGAGGCUCCAGAUGGCGCUUUGGGCUCCCUCUUGUGCUGGGAACUAGCUGCACCUGUUCUUCCAAAUGCUCCGUGAAACUCUGAGGGUCAUCUCACCUCUUCUUCUGCAAAGAAACCACAGAAUCUGUAGAAAAUACUUGGAAUAUUAGAGUCCAGAACCUUCUUCCCAGAAUCCAUAGGAAUCCUUUCCAAUUAACUCAUUUGACAAAGGAGAAAAAUGGGUCAGGGAUAACCUGGGAAUUGGAACAGAUCAUACAGCUAGUUAGUUGCAGAACCAAGACAACUGCUAACCCAGCAUGAUGUUGUGGAUUAAGUUUCUCACCUUUUGUCUCAAUUUGCAUCUCUGUAAGUAGGGAAUUAUGAUCACCUUGAUGGGUAGUGGGGGACAAAAUCAAGCAUGUGUGCAAAAUACCUUGCGAGGUGAUCAGCAUGAUUGGCGUAUGCCCUUCCCCAUGUCUAAAGAAUUAUUCUCUCCUCUUUAGCCCUUUCUUGCUACUCACGACAUGAUGCUUAACCUACUGCUAUCACAAAACAACAGAUGAAAGAAAACCCAAACCUUUUUACGGCCGUACCCACGGUAUAUGGAAGUUCCUGCAUCAGGGAUUGAAUCCGAGCCGCAGCUGCGACCCGCACCAGAUCCUUAAACCCACUGGUCUGGGUUGGGGAUCAAACCCUUGCCUCCACAGAGACCUGAGGCACUGCAGUCAGAUUUUGAACCCACUGUGCCACAGUGGGAACUCCCCCUUUUCCACUUUUAAGGACACCUAGGGGAGGGAAUUUUCAAACACUCCGCUUCAUAUUUAAAAUGCAGCAUGUUUCCCUGUGUUCUAUCCACAUGGUGUUAAAUAGCUUCGAAGCUCUUUAUGUUGCUUCUUAAAUAUUGCUGUAAAAUCUACCGUUCCCUGAACCUUCUCCCAUAGCUGUGAUAUCCCCAGCUUUGUUAGGAGGCUCUGAGUAAGAGCUCAUGGCUCUCAGGCUCUCAAAAGUACCCUCAUUACAAUCCAUUUGCCAUAAACAAAGAGAGGAGAUUGUUUUACUCCAGAUGAGAACUGAAUUCGCUUCUUUCUGCAAUUCUCCAGGGUCCAGGGUGAAAUGAAUUUCAAGGAUGCUCAGUAGCCAUAUGCACCCACUAGUUGUUUGAUAUUUCUAUGUGGCCAGUUGGAACAGCAGAAAAAUGAGAAAUGUGUUUUAUGACUAUAAUUUUUCCGAGAAAAAAUGAAGAAAAGAGAUGCAGGGCUGGGAAAAAUAUAGAUCUUGGAAUCCAUACACGGGACAGAGAAUGGAGUUUUAUCUCUUUGCCGGAUUAUUUCUCUCCUAUCUUGAAUAUAUCGUUCUCCAAAUCUCAGCAUCUCAUUGGCUUCCCUCGAAAUGCUGCUUACCACUUUUCACUCUUUUCUUAUUCCUGAAAAAUAUAAAAGCUAAUUAAUAGGGUAACGAAUAAAAUACAAAUACGGAGUUCCCAUCGUGGCUCAGUGAACCCUGCUAGCAUUCAUGAGAACGUGGGUUCGAUCCCUGGCCUUGCUCAGUGGGUUGAGGAUCUGGCAUCACAGUGAGCUGUGGUGUGGGUUACAAACAUGGCUCAGAUCCCACAUUGCUGUGGCUGUGGUGUAGGCCAGCAGCCAAAGCUCUGAUUGGACACCUAGCCUUGGAACCUCCAUAUGCUAUGGAUGCAGCCCUAAGAAG
Molecule: long non-coding RNA, 3761 nt
Filed under: Sus scrofa (pig)
Lineage: Eukaryota; Metazoa; Chordata; Mammalia; Artiodactyla; Suidae
Description: lncRNA (ENSSSCG00000060563.1)
Source: RNAcentral